UAUAAUAUAUAUUACAGUAAAUAUGUUUCGUGGCCAAAACGUCCACCUUGGGAGGUUCCCGUGGCCAAAACAUCCUAGGGUGACAUCCCAUGGCCAAAACGUCCGUGGGCAAAUCAUCCGUGGCCAAAUCAUCCUACAACCUAGCAUGCUCAAACAAAAGAACCUAUCACUGUGAGUGAUCUCGUGCGUGCACAAAUGAGUGACAACCUAAUGGCAUUACCUCAGUGUCUGCCAGUCCAUCGCAUGUGUGGGUGCAUUGCAUCCCAGCGCUGACAUGGCACUGUGUGAGCUUGUUCCUCCAAAAUCUGGCUAAUGAGGAUGAUGGAAAGCAGCCGACCCACCAAACAAUUCAAAGCUGAAAAAAGCAUAAAAAGAGGAAGAGGAGGUGGUGAGAGUAGGACUCUAACUGAAGUUAGGAAGAAGCAAAUGGAUUACAAGAGUGUGAUGAAGGGCCAAGUUGCAAUUAUAUGACGACAUAAUGACUAGACGGGUAACCCAUGUUAUAGAGUACAGAGAAGAGGAUUCAACUUGUUAUACUUUCUGGGGGUUGUAGCCACCAGAAAUUGCUGAAGAAAUGAAGACCAUGGAUCCAGAGUGUCCACCAAUGUGGAUAAUGUGACUGUUCUUAUCCCUGUGGUUCAGACUUAUGGAAUACUCAAUCAAGAUAGCUACCUGGUUGGGCUGUGACCGAGCCAUCUGGAAGGCCCGCAGGCGCCUGGAAAGGAGAGUUGGAGGGUCAGGAGCAAUCGUCACAAGUCAUAGCAGCGGUGCAGUAGGAGCGGCGGUAAUACUGCUUGGGAGGCUGACUACUGGCAACCACUGAUUCUGAAGCAGAGCUGUUCGUAGUGGUGAACUCAGGCUUCAUCUUAGCCAGAGUCUCUCGCUGUAUGAUAGCCGACUGUGGAAAUAAAGGAACAAAGAUUAAUAAACACUGAAAUGACACAGUACCAAAGCAAAAUAAAAAUAUUUUCCUUAGAUCA
This is a long non-coding RNA of Portunus trituberculatus (swimming crab), 980 nucleotides long. RefSeq lists it as uncharacterized. The transcript is spliced from 6 exons. Lineage: Eukaryota; Metazoa; Arthropoda; Malacostraca; Decapoda; Portunidae. The record is from RefSeq and is a predicted model, not a curated record.